AUCAUAUCGGUGCUGUUGGCGUGACUAUGGGCAUCCUCACUGCGUUGGCACCCAGCAGGAAGGGGGUCAUCAACAAGUAUGUCGUCAGGGCCAACAUCACUGGGCAGAUGGCCUGCUUCAUGACGGCAUGUGUAGCAGGAAUGUUGUACAAUUCCGACCAAGAAUAACUUCUAAAUGAUGUGGCAGAUGUAUAUAACCUGGAGGUGUGAUUCUUGAAGCUUCAACGAGGAAAUCCUGCACAACCGUAUACAACCUAUGGGCUACUGCAUAAAACAUAUACUUUAUACGACAUGAAUGCCUGUUCAAUCAUAUGCAAAGCAGGUACUUCUGUAUAAAACGUAUUCUACCAUAAAGAGCAUAUAUAUUACAAUAAUCCAUUCGUAUACAGCACAAGUAGUACCGAAAACAUA
This is a long non-coding RNA of Haliotis rubra (blacklip abalone), 410 nucleotides long. RefSeq lists it as uncharacterized. Lineage: Eukaryota; Metazoa; Mollusca; Gastropoda; Lepetellida; Haliotidae. The record is from RefSeq and is a predicted model, not a curated record. The transcript is spliced from 2 exons.